This is a long non-coding RNA of Neofelis nebulosa (Clouded leopard), 1208 nucleotides long. RefSeq lists it as uncharacterized. Lineage: Eukaryota; Metazoa; Chordata; Mammalia; Carnivora; Felidae. The record is from RefSeq and is a predicted model, not a curated record. The transcript is spliced from 3 exons.
CCUAGUGGAGACUGGAAUCUUAGUUGUGCGGAUCACUAAAGUGAGGCUGGCUUGUGCCUUCGUCCCUUCAUUCAAGUAUCUAUCUGGCACCCGAGAGCCAGGCGCUGUCCCGGGCGUGGGGAAAUGACAGUGACAGCGACGCGGCCUCUGGAAGCAGGAAUCUCACAUCCGAGCGAGGAGAGCUGUCUUCAGGCCACACGGAGUUGAGGUCAGAGUUUUCUGCUUUCUCGAUCGCCAGCUCGUCGGCCACGGGAGGAUGGAUGUUACAUUUACAGGGAUCUUAUGGAUUUCUCUGUUAUGCUGCAGCUUGGACCAAACAGCCCUCUCUUCUUCGCCUCUAUCGAUCUAAAUGUUUCCAUAUUUGUUUCCUUGUGGAGGCAUUUACUGCAUCAGACUUUUAAGAGAUGGGGCCUGGAGAUUUACAGAGCUCUUUGUGUGUUCCGAUGUACAAUCGGAGCUCAGAGACAUGGAAAGACAUGGAAAGAAGUGCCCUCUGAUGUCCGAAAGGGCCACAGCAUCGUUCUGCCUCUGACCUUGCAACACUGACUUACUGUGCAUGAAACACAGCCUCCUCGCCAGCCAAACUGGGGAAGUUAUCAUCGAAGCAGCCUUCCUGGAUUAUUACGAGGACGGAAUCCUCUGUGUGUGGGAAGCCCUUCUCCAUCUUCUUGCUCAUCCACGGGAGCAUGUGGCCCCCGAAAGCCGGCCAUUUUGGCCCAUGUUCCCAUUGAGCAGAGCCCAGUCAUGUGACCCCAACCUAAUCACAAGGGUGGCAGGGAAACACGGAAGUGCACACGGAAGUCUGCUGAGCACCGUUGCCUCCGCCAUCCCCCCCUAUUAGAAGGUAAGCUCCCUGAGGGAAGGGACUUGGGCAUCCUUGUCACCACUGUCUCCCAGCAGCUGCCACGUGUUGAACACCUGCGAGGCUCGGAUGCAUGAAUAAAUGAAGACGGGCAUGAAUGACGCCUUCCUCUCUGAAAUUUUCAUCCAAUUCUCAGCAAGAUGCUCUGAUGUAAAAGUUCAUCGUGAGGGCUAGAACCCUAUCUCGCUAAUGGCGUUUUCAGUCUUAUUUGGAUAGGGACUAAUCUUGACGUGCUUUGGAUUCACACUUUAACCCACCCCCAAUCCCUUGCGGAUGUCCUUCUCUUUGACCCUGUAUUUGGGAUAAUGACUCCUGUAUUUCCCAUAGUUCCCCAGAAAAAGCACUG